This 229-nucleotide long non-coding RNA is filed under the name Mytilus galloprovincialis (Mediterranean mussel). Lineage: Eukaryota; Metazoa; Mollusca; Bivalvia; Mytilida; Mytilidae. The record is from RNAcentral.
CGCCCCACUCAUGUAAAAAGAUGUUAUCCCGUUGUAUAUAAGUUAAAUUCCGUUAAUAUUACUCCUGCUAACUGGUCCCACCUAAUGGAAAUCGGUGAAAUCUAGAUAAAUAUAUUAUUAACCAGGAUGAAUUUAGUAAUGCCAACUCUCCCCACUUAUGGAAAAAGAUGUUAUCCCGUUGAAUACAAGUUAAAUUCCUUAUAUUGCAUUAUGAUACAAUUAACAGGUU